CAGGAUGAAGACAUGAAGAGAAAGUUUCAAGAUCUUCUGUCUGAGGAAAAUGAAUCCACAGGUCUAUCCCAGGUUCUAGCCCAGCCUUCUACUAGUCGAAAGCGGCCUCGUGAAGGGGAAGCCGAGGGUGCCGAGACCACAAAGCGCCCGGCUGUGUGUGCUGCUGUGUUGUGAACUCCGUGGUUUGAACAUGAAAGAAAUGUACCUUCUUUCACUCUGUCAUCUUUCUUUUCUUUGAGUCUGUUUUUUUAUAGUUUGUAUAUUAAUUAUGGAAAUAAUUGCUUUUUCACAGUCACUGAUGUACAAUUAAAAACCUGAUGGAACCUGGGCUUUGUGCUUCUGCUUGAUAAUCGGUUCUUUAGUUGAAUGGCUUUAUUAUUUAUUUAUUUGAGAUGGAGUCUCACUCUGUUGCCCAGCCUGAAGUGUAGUGGUGCAAGCUUGGCUCACUGCAACCUCUGCUUCCCAGAUUCAAGCGAUUCUCGUGCCUCAGCCUCCUGAGUAGCUGGGAUUACAGGUAUGCGCCACCAUGCCAAGCUAAUUUUUAUAUUUUUUUG
Molecule: long non-coding RNA, 554 nt
Filed under: Homo sapiens (human)
Lineage: Eukaryota; Metazoa; Chordata; Mammalia; Primates; Hominidae
Description: non-protein coding lnc-TP53TG3-33:4
Source: RNAcentral